RNAcentral lists this non-coding RNA (104 nucleotides) under Chloroflexota bacterium. RNAcentral describes it as "Chloroflexi bacterium SAM-I sequence". It matches the Rfam family "SAM riboswitch aptamer (S box leader)". Rfam says of the family: The SAM riboswitch is found upstream of a number of genes which code for proteins involved in methionine or cysteine biosynthesis in Gram-positive bacteria. The SAM riboswitch acts at the level of transcription termination control. The predicted structure consists of a complex stem-loop region followed by a single stem loop terminator region. Lineage: Bacteria; Bacillati; Chloroflexota. The record is from RNAcentral.
CUCUUAUCCAGAGAGGCGGAGGGACCGGCCCGAUGAAGCCUCGGCAACCAGGUUAUUGAAACCCAGGUGCCAAUUCCGGCAGAGUAAGAUCUGGAAGAUGAGAG